GGAGAGGUGGCCGAGUGGCUGAAGGCAACGGUUUGCUAAACCGUCAUAGCGUGUUUAGCGUUAUCGGGGGUUCGAAUCCCCCCCUCUCCG
Molecule: transfer RNA, 90 nt
Filed under: Chlorobiales bacterium
Lineage: Bacteria; Pseudomonadati; Chlorobiota; Chlorobiia; Chlorobiales
Description: tRNA-Ser
Rfam family: tRNA
About the family: Transfer RNA (tRNA) molecules are approximately 80 nucleotides in length.
Source: RNAcentral